GGCGACCUCCGCCCACUGCCCCCGAUCCUCUCCACAUCCCCUCACCUUCUAUCCCACAGCAGGGCCCCUAGAUCAAGGAGGCAGGCACCGUCAGAUCCGCCAUGCCCACAGCUCUCUCUGCCCACCCCAAACCCUACCCACAGCCGCCGCCGUGCUCCAUCACCAGCGACCUUGCCGCCGCUGCCCCUCUCCCCUCGCCCUAUCUCCAUACCUGCGACACCGAGCCGGACGGGAGGAGCCACCGCCCAACAGCACGCGCGUGCCGGUAGGGCGAGGGGAUCAGUAUGUACAGGCGGUGCCCCCGCCGGAUCUGAACAAGAACACCGGGUGGUUCAUGUACCUGGCAUUCCUAGAUCCAUCCGCCCCAUCCUCUCCUCACCCUAUCUUCCUCGGUGUUGGGGCAUCCAGAUCGAGCAGGUCAGGUGCCCGCGCUCCAUGAUCUCCAUGCGAUGCACCGGCGAGGCGACAGAGGUGCUCGUGGUGGACGCCUCCGCCGUCUUCCACCGACACGCAGCCGCGCCCUCCAACGCCGCUCUUCCACACGACGACAGACCUGUGUGCCGCUCGGCUGGGACAGAACCCCGCGCUCGACGAUGCCAUGGACAUGGAGGUCUUCAAGGGGAAGCUGAUACCCACACGGCCAGCUCGUGCUCACUGUGUUUGACCGCCAGCUUGUGCUCUACCGCGACGAGUACCGAUGCCCACACAGGUAUGACCUGCGUGCCCCCAUGACCUUGCACCGGUGCUAUGUGCGUGAGCGCAUGCGCGCUUGCUGCAAUGUCGGGUGUGGUGGUGUGUUGAAAACUUACGAUGGGGGCGGCCAGGUGGUGCGUGGCCGUGUGUGUGGCGAUGUAUGGAGCUCCGGAGAUUCCUAUUGGAUUGCCGAGACUUGGUCUUGGUUCUGCCGUUGGUCUUUAUGAAGCUUUGGAACUGAGGGACGGUGGAUCUAACUACUUGGGAAAGGGUGUUUCCAAGGUUCCAUUUGAGCGAAUUUUAUAUUAGCGUGAAUAACAAAUUCCCGGGCUACAGUCUUAAGUAAUUCUGUUACCUAGUUAGUGUUAGUGUAGUCUACCGUCGCUCACAUCUUUUGGUCUAACAUAUCUGUAGUGUUACUUAUGCAUGGUACCUUGCUGCUCUGUUGCCCUGACAUUUCUGCAUGGUUGUUUUGCAUUGCUGGCCUAAUUAAACAAGAUAAAUAUGUAUACUUCUUUGAGAUAGAAAUUCCAUGCAUGUUUAUGAGGCACAAAUUCUUUGAGAUAACCAUAACCGUACUUCAAAAGUAAACAUUAGCAUCUCAAAUAACCAGCUUACUGAUGUAGGAGUAGUAGAAACUCCAUGGUUUCCUGAUUGCUGAACAUGGGAGAUGUAUGUUUUGCAUUUCAAUUACAUAGCAGUACUAUGUAAUGAAACAGGUUUAUUCUUAUAUUCUUGGUUGUAUACUUUGGAGAUUUACCAUGCAACAUCUUUUCAUCUAGUAGUAGUACUACUAUUGGUUUAUCUAUAGCAAUAUACAUCUAGUACCUAUUGCAAUUUUCAUUUCCAAGAUUAAUUUGGUAUCCCAGGUCCUGCAGCACUGUCUUCUCUGUUCCUGACUAUAAAAAUUUCCAUGUGUACUAGUAGCAUCUAAACCAUGCAGACUAAAUCAUUAGGCACACUGUACUGCACACACUAGUUAAUGUUCUGUAUUUUUGAGAACAUUUUGUAUCUGUUGUCUAGUUCUAUCCGGUGAUACUCGAUUAGAGCCCCAUGUGUUUAAACAACUAGUCAAUUAACAUGGGUCCCCACUGGUGGUACAGCGUCAAGUUUGGAAGCAGCUGGAGUGAAUGUGAGAAAAGUUGAACAGCUUACACAUUUUCCUGAAAUGGUCUGGCGGCACCGCCGCGUCGACAACGAAGGUGGUGAUCGCAGCGGCGAGCGGCGCGAGUUGGUGGCUGCGGGACUCGACAACACGUCUCAUAUAUGUGCUUUCGACUAAUCCAGCUUCUUUUGGUCUAGCUGGGCAUUACUUUGAGUUCAUGAGCUCAUGAUAGACUACUAAAUGGACAAGUAUCUACAACGUUCGAUCAAAGAUGAUGCUUACCAGAUGUUCUACUGCAGCCCCAUCCAUAUCAUCGACAUGAAGUUAGAUUUUUGGCCUUUAUUCGUCAAAAGUUUGUGUACAAGGAACUCCAGGAGAAGAAUCUUUAAGUAAAUAAUUUAUAUAGAUCAGGAUCUUAUGUUGUCGAGGUGGCUGCUACUGUGACCAAAGAUCAGCCUGGAGUUGUGCAUCAUAGUCUUAGUUGAUGUUGCCACCAUGUUUUGGUGCCUGUGUAUUUGAUUGUAUGUACACUUGAUGGAUCGUGUAGUCGUGUACGUGCUGUUUUGAGUUUCAUUUAGUGAUUUCUGGAUUUGAUCAUUUAAUUGAGAAAAUUAUUUAUUGUUUAGUGUUGAAAUGUGUAAAAUUGAAAUAUAUGAUUGAAAAAGAUUGAAUGUUC
This is an RNA transcript of Triticum dicoccoides, 2474 nucleotides long. RefSeq lists it as uncharacterized. The transcript is spliced from 6 exons. The record is from RefSeq and is a predicted model, not a curated record. NCBI's taxonomy places the organism in Eukaryota, Viridiplantae, Streptophyta, Magnoliopsida, Poales, Poaceae.